UGGCGCCCAGCGUGGGGGCUCCUGGCAUGAAGGAGUCAAUGAGGGAGCCGUUCGAGACAGCUGGCUGAAACUGAAAGCAAAUUGAACUGAGCAAACUAAAUCAAGGAUCAAAGCUAAAAGCAACAGGACAUUAAAUCAAGUACCACAGCCUGUGCGGAUGACUACCCAACAUGCCUCCCGAGUCAUGGUGGGUGAAUGGUGACCCCAUUCCCUUUCCCGGACAAGGGUCAAGCAUUGAGCGAACAUGAAUUGUUCGUGGGAGGUCUUAUAAAGGCAUUAAAGACAAGAGGGGUAAGGGUUAGAAGAAAAGAAUUAUUGCAGUAUUUUCAAUUUAUCCAUAAGGUUUGCCCUA
This is a regulatory RNA element of Cavia porcellus (domestic guinea pig), 352 nucleotides long. It matches the Rfam family "Mason-Pfizer monkey virus packaging signal". Rfam says of the family: The packaging signal is located in the 5' UTR and is required for specific RNA encapsidation. The record is from Rfam. NCBI's taxonomy places the organism in Eukaryota, Metazoa, Chordata, Mammalia, Rodentia, Caviidae.